This 422-nucleotide ribosomal RNA is filed under the name uncultured bacterium. RNAcentral describes it as "bacterial SSU rRNA". It matches the Rfam family "Bacterial small subunit ribosomal RNA", at positions 73 to 510 of the family's 1533-position model. The record is from RNAcentral.
UAUAGCUUGCUAUAUUUGUCAGCUAAGUGGCGCACGGGUGAGUAAUGUAUAGAUAACCUGCCCUUAAGAAAGGAAUAACAGUUGGAAACGACUGCUAAUGCCCUAUAUGCCUUUAAUACAUAAGUAUGCAAGGGAAACGCUUUAGUGCUUAAGGAUGGGUCUGUAUGGUAUCAGCUUGUUGGUGAGGUAAUGGCUCACCAAGGCUAUGACGCCUAACUGGUUUGAGAGGAUGAUCAGUCACACUGGAACUGAGACACGGUCCAGACUCCUACGGGAGGCAGCAGUGGGGAAUAUUGCACAAUGGACGAAAGUCUGAUGCAGCAACGCCGCGUGGAGGAUGACACAUUUCGGUGCGUAAACUCCUUUUAUAUAGGAAGAUAAUGACGGUACUAUAUGAAUAAGCACCGGCUAACUCCGUGCCA